AGAGCGAACGCUGGCGGCAGGCCUAACACAUGCAAGUCGAGCGCGUGUAGCAAUACACGAGCGGCAGACGGGAGAGUAACACGUGGGAACGCGCCCUUUGGUUCGGAAUAACUCAGGGAAACUUGAGCUAAUACCGGAUAAGCCCUUACGGGGAAAGAUUUAUCGCCAAAGGAACGGCCCGCGUCCGAUUAGCUAGUUGGUGAGGUAACGGCUCACCAAGGCGACGAUCGGUAGCUGGUCUGAGAGGAUGACCAGCCUCACUGGGACUGAGACACGGCCCAGACUCCUACGGGAGGCAGCAGUGGGGAAUAUUGGACAAUGGGCGCAAGCCUGAUCCAGCCAUGCCGCGUGAAUGAUGAAGGCCUUAGGGUUGUAAAGUCCUUUUAACGGGAAGUAUAAUGACGGUACCGUAGAAUAAGCCCGGCUAACUUCGUGCCAGCAGCCGC
RNAcentral lists this ribosomal RNA (446 nucleotides) under uncultured bacterium. Its description in RNAcentral is "SSU rRNA". It matches the Rfam family "Bacterial small subunit ribosomal RNA", at positions 26 to 518 of the family's 1533-position model. The record is from RNAcentral.